GACGAACGCUGGCGGCGUGCUUAACACAUGCAAGUCGAACGCGCCUGUCCUCUGGGUUUCUGGGGGGUGGGUGAGUGGCGAACGGGUGAGUAACACGUGAGUAACCUGCCCCCUUCUUCGGGAUAACGGUCUGAAAGGGCUGCUAAUACCGGGUAUUCACUGGUCUCCGCAUGGGGUCUGGUGGAAAGGUUUUUUUCUGGUGGGGGAUGGGCUCGCGGCCUAUCAGCUUGUUGGUGGGGUGAUGGCCCACCAAGGCUUUGACGGGUAGCCGGCCUGAGAGGGUGACCGGUCACAUUGGGACUGAGAUACGGCCCAGACUCCUACGGGAGGCAGCAGUGGGGAAUAUUGCACAAUGGGCGAAAGCCUGAUGCAGCGACGCCGCGUGAGGGAUGGAGGCCUUCGGGUUGUGAACCUCUUUCGCCCGUGGUCAAGCCGCGACGUGGGUCGUGGUGAGGGUAGUGGGUAAAGAAGCGCCGGCUAACUACGUG
RNAcentral lists this ribosomal RNA (488 nucleotides) under uncultured bacterium. RNAcentral's name for it is "partial 16S ribosomal RNA". It matches the Rfam family "Bacterial small subunit ribosomal RNA", at positions 28 to 507 of the family's 1533-position model. The record is from RNAcentral.